AUUGAACGCUGGCGGCAGGCCUAACACAUGCAAGUCGAGCGGAUGAAGGGAGCUUGCUCCUGGAUUCAGCGGCGGACGGGUGAGUAAUGCCUAGGAAUCUGCCUGGUAGUGGGGGAUAACGUCCGGAAACGGGCGCUAAUACCGCAUACGUCCUGAGGGAGAAAGUGGGGGAUCUUCGGACCUCACGCUAUCAGAUGAGCCUAGGUCGGAUUAGCUAGUUGGUGGGGUAAAGGCCUACCAAGGCGACGAUCCGUAACUGGUCUGAGAGGAUGAUCAGUCACACUGGAACUGAGACACGGUCCAGACUCCUACGGGAGGCAGCAGUGGAGAAUAUUGGACAAUGGGCGAAAGCCUGAUCCAGCCAUGCCGCGUGUGUGAAGAAGGUCUUCGGAUUGUAAAGCACUUUAAGUUGGGAGGAAGGGCAGUAAGUUAAUACCUUGCUGUUUUGACGUUACCAACAGAAUAAGCACCGGCUAACUUCGU
This 483-nucleotide ribosomal RNA is filed under the name uncultured bacterium. RNAcentral's name for it is "partial 16S ribosomal RNA". It matches the Rfam family "Bacterial small subunit ribosomal RNA", at positions 30 to 506 of the family's 1533-position model. The record is from RNAcentral.